This is a long non-coding RNA of Mya arenaria, 1213 nucleotides long. RefSeq lists it as uncharacterized. The transcript is spliced from 2 exons. NCBI's taxonomy places the organism in Eukaryota, Metazoa, Mollusca, Bivalvia, Myida, Myidae. The record is from RefSeq and is a predicted model, not a curated record.
UGUUAGAGCUGUACUCUGAUAAAGCAGUGAUGAAUAAUCAGGAGUUUCCAAAUUAACGUUUUAACAGUUCAACAGCCUGCAUACACCGAAUAUCGCACGUUCUCACAGCGAAGUGCUAUUUCAUGGUGGGAUAUAUAAAUGCAGCUAGUGAUGUAAUAGCAUUUGUAACAUGUGCACCGCUAAAGUGAUGAGUGUUUAUAUAUCAGUGUGGUUGAAAUAUAAUAGGACUUUUGUUACAAUGUGAUUUGGUGACAAUUUGCCACAACUGUGAUCAUGCGGCUGAAUCAGCCAUUCACGGAUUAUUUGUUCUUACUUAUCAUUCUACCAGCGUGGAUGACAGAAGAAAGUGUCGGCUACAUAUUGGAUUCUCGACCGCAACAGACAUUUCCGUUUGCGUUUAUCGAACAAAUGUAUCCAACGGGAAAGCAUCUAAAUCCUAAGAAACUAUUUAGACGUAUUGGAAAUAGUUUUGAUCCAGAAUGGAUGUCUGUAACAGAUCCAAGCGAAAAUAAGUUGUUCCAAAACUCGUCUGCCCACGAAUCUCAUCCAAAUGAUUUGUACGCAUAUUCCAUGACACGAGCAAGAGUGUCCGAUAUUUUGCGGGAUAGAUAUAACCUUGGAGUCGAAAUCGAAUCUUUAGACGUGAUUGUGACUUUUUUGCACGACUUUUCCACAUGUCAUGUGAAGUAUAAGUGGGAGGACUUAGGGCAGUUGUUUUGGCCACGUUUUGUUAAAAAAGGCUCCUGUGACUCCUCUGGCCCCUGUUCGUGGCCCCCGGGCAUGAGAUGCCAAAUAGGUCAAGUUAAGACACUCCAGUUCUUAAGGUGGAUUUGCAAAAAGGGUCGACGGAAAAUCGCCGGGCAAAAAGAAAAUAUUAAUUUCACGAGCAAAAGGACAAAUAAAAAAACAAAUCACGUGAGACUUGGUGAUAAAGUAAAAUGUAAGUGGAGAAAAAUUCCGUACGAAAUAAUAACGUCUUGUUUGUGCAAGUGUGAUUAAUUUUUUUAAAAAUUGCUCAGAUGAAAACGCAGACGACGGAAUAAACUCUAUUUCAUUUAUGUUGAUAUUUUUGUUGUUUCGUUUUGCCAUUCUGUGUUGAUACUAAGUAUGUUAUAUAAAUUUGUCAUAUUCAAUAAAACCUGUCAUAAUGUGAAAGUUUUUAAUGUGUGUUACUAUAUAGGUUAGAAUUUUGAAUAAAAAUGUUUAAACAUGU